This 392-nucleotide ribosomal RNA is filed under the name uncultured bacterium. RNAcentral describes it as "partial 16S ribosomal RNA". It matches the Rfam family "Bacterial small subunit ribosomal RNA", at positions 523 to 918 of the family's 1533-position model. The record is from RNAcentral.
AUACGGAGGAUCCGAGCGUUAUCCGGAUUUAUUGGGUUUAAAGGGUGCGCAGGCGGCCAUUUAAGUCAGCGGUUAAAUCGUGGGGCUCAACCCCAUUCUGCCGUUGAUACUGGGUGGCUUGAUUGCGGUCGAGGUUGGCGGAAUUCGUUGUGUAGCGGUGAAAUGCAUAGAUAUGACGAAGAACACCGAUUGCGUAGGCAGCUGACCAGACCGCAAAUGACGCUCAUGCACGAAAGUGCGGGGAUCGAACAGGAUUAGAUACCCUGGUAGUCCGCACAGUAAACGAUGAAUACUUGUUUUCGGCGAUAUACUGUCGGAGGCAAAGCGAAAGCGAUAAGUAUUCCACCUGGGGAGUACGCCGGCAACGGUGAAACUCAAAUGAAUUGACGGGG